AGUCAUAUGCUUGUCUCAAAGAUUAAGCCAUUCAUGUCUCAGUGCAAGCCACAUUAAGGUGAAACCGCGAAUGGCUCAUUAAAUCAGUUAUGGUUCCUUGGAUCCUACCAAUCCUACUUGGAUAACUGUGGUAAUUCUAGAGCUAAUACAUGCACCCAGAGCUCCGUCCAGAAAUGGCCGGGGCGCAGUUAUUAGAUCAAAACCAAUCGGUCGGGCUCGCCCGUCCGUAGUUUUGGUGACUCUGAAUAACCACCGCUGAUCGCACGGCCUCGCGCCGGCGACGUAUCCUUCGAAUGUCUGCCUUAUCAACUGUCGAUGGUAGGUUCCGCGCCUACCAUGGUUGUAACGGGUAACGGGGAAUCAGGGUUCGAUUCCGGAGAGGGAGCCUGAGAAACGGCUACCACAUCCAAGGAAGGCAGCAGGCGCGCAAAUUACCCACUCCCGGCACGGGGAGGUAGUGACGAAAAAUAACGAUACGGGACUCAUCCGAGGCCCCGUAAUCGGAAUGAGAACACUUUAAAACUUUUAACGAGUACCUAAUGGAGGGCAAGUCUGGUGCCAGCAGCCGCGGUAAUUCCAGCUCCAUUGGCGUAUAU
Molecule: ribosomal RNA, 596 nt
Filed under: Afroptilum sp. BMNH 704113
Lineage: Eukaryota; Metazoa; Arthropoda; Insecta; Ephemeroptera; Baetidae
Description: SSU rRNA
Rfam family: Eukaryotic small subunit ribosomal RNA
Source: RNAcentral